CCCUGUAUCGAAAGUGGCGUGGGCGCAUCCAUCGCCUCGGCCAUCGAUAGUACAGGGAGAGCAAAGUUGCCGGCCUUUCCCGUGUCUGCUGGAGCUCCGUUUCCUGUCAGACCCUGGUGUCGGCGCACA
Molecule: small nucleolar RNA, 129 nt
Organism: Syngnathus acus (greater pipefish)
Lineage: Eukaryota; Metazoa; Chordata; Actinopteri; Syngnathiformes; Syngnathidae
Product: small nucleolar RNA SNORA71
Exons: 1
Source: RefSeq, a predicted model, not a curated record